GAUGAACGCUGGCGGCGUGCUUAACACAUGCAAGUCGAACGGACCUAUUUAUAGGUUAGUGGCAGACGGGUGAGUACAACACAGGUAACUUACCCCUAAGACUGGCAUAACCACUUGAAAAGGUGGCUAAUUCCAGAUAAUCUUGUUUAACCGCAUGGUUUUACAAGGAAAUGUUUUUUCGCUUAGGGAUAGGCCUGUGCCUGAUUAGCUUGUUGGUGGGGUAAAAGCCUACCAAGGCUGCGAUCAGUAGCUGGUCUGAGAGGAUGAACAGCCACACUGGGACUGAGAUACGGCCCAG
This 298-nucleotide ribosomal RNA is filed under the name uncultured bacterium. Its description in RNAcentral is "partial 16S ribosomal RNA". It matches the Rfam family "Bacterial small subunit ribosomal RNA", at positions 28 to 334 of the family's 1533-position model. The record is from RNAcentral.